GCCAGCUUGGCUCAGUGGUAGAGCGUGUCAACAGUGCCGUACCUAAGAAAUAUCUUUAGAAUAGCAUCUGUUAAUGGCAAGAUCAUCAGUUCGACUCUGAUAGCGGGUA
Non-coding RNA from Coniochaeta pulveracea, 109 nucleotides. The record is from the annotation of a GenBank genome assembly. NCBI's taxonomy places the organism in Eukaryota, Fungi, Ascomycota, Sordariomycetes, Coniochaetales, Coniochaetaceae.